This 925-nucleotide ribosomal RNA is filed under the name Leuconostoc mesenteroides. Its description in RNAcentral is "bacterial SSU rRNA". It matches the Rfam family "Bacterial small subunit ribosomal RNA", at positions 558 to 1480 of the family's 1533-position model. Lineage: Bacteria; Bacillati; Bacillota; Bacilli; Lactobacillales; Lactobacillaceae. The record is from RNAcentral.
GCGUAAAGCGAGCGCAGACGGUUGAUUAAGUCUGAUGUGAAAGCCCGGAGCUCAACUCCCGGAAAUGGCAUGGAAACUGGUUAACUUGAGUGCAGUAGAGGUAAGUGGAACUCCAUGUGUAGCGGUGGAAUGCGUAGAUAUAUGGAAGAACACCAGUGGCGAAGGCGGCUUACUGGACUGUAACUGACGUUGAGGCUCGAAAGUGUGGGUAGCAAACAGGAUUAGAUACCCUGGUAGUCCACACCGUAAACGAUGAACACUAGGUGUUAGGAGGUUUCCGCCUCUUAGUGCCGAAGCUAACGCAUUAAGUGUUCCGCCUGGGGAGUACGACCGCAAGGUUGAAACUCAAAGGAAUUGACGGGGACCCGCACAAGCGGUGGAGCAUGUGGUUUAAUUCGAAGCAACGCGAAGAACCUUACCAGGUCUUGACAUCCUUUGAAGCUUUUAGAGAUAGAAGUGUUCUCUUCGGAGACAAAGUGACAGGUGGUGCAUGGUCGUCGUCAGCUCGUGUCGUGAGAUGUUGGGUUAAGUCCCGCAACGAGCGCAACCCUUAUUGUUAGUUGCCAGCAUUCAGAUGGGCACUCUAGCGAGACUGCCGGUGACAAACCGGAGGAAGGCGGGGACGACGUCAGAUCAUCAUGCCCCUUAUGACCUGGGCUACACACGUGCUACAAUGGCGUAUACAACGAGUUGCCAACCCGCGAGGGUGAGCUAAUCUCUUAAAGUACGUCUCAGUUCGGAUUGUAGUCUGCAACUCGACUACAUGAAGUCGGAAUCGCUAGUAAUCGCGGAUCAGCACGCCGCGGUGAAUACGUUCCCGGGUCUUGUACACACCGCCCGUCACACCAUGGGAGUUUGUAAUGCCCAAAGCCGGUGGCCUAACCUUUUAGGAAGGAGCCGUCUAAGGCAGGACAGAUGACUGGGG